GACGUAGGGGGCGAGCGUUGUCCGGAAUCAUUGGGCGUAAAGAGCGCGUAGGCGGCUUGGUAAGUCGGACGUGAAAACCCGAGGCUCAACCUCGGGCGUGCAUCCGAUACUGCCCGGCUAGAGGUAGGUAGGGGAGAUCGGAAUUCCUGGUGUAGCGGUGAAAUGCGCAGAUAUCAGGAAGAACACCAAUGGCGAAGGCAGCUCUCUGGGACGGUACUGACGCUGAGACGCGAAAGCGUGGGGAGCGAACAGG
RNAcentral lists this ribosomal RNA (253 nucleotides) under uncultured bacterium. RNAcentral describes it as "partial 16S ribosomal RNA". It matches the Rfam family "Bacterial small subunit ribosomal RNA", at positions 524 to 776 of the family's 1533-position model. The record is from RNAcentral.